This 1113-nucleotide long non-coding RNA is filed under the name Gallus gallus (chicken). RNAcentral describes it as "lncRNA (ENSGALG00010015434.1)". Lineage: Eukaryota; Metazoa; Chordata; Aves; Galliformes; Phasianidae. The record is from RNAcentral.
AUCUUCUGAGAUGGCCCCUCUGGAGCUCUUGGGGAUGAGUCUCCUGGUACAGAGAGAUCUGCUGAUGACAGCCUCAUGUAUACAGAUGACAGAAUCAGGGCCAACAAAGACACUUUCUCCAGAAGUGAUGGAGGAGAGCUAAAAUGAAAUGCUGGAAUGUGGUCAUCUACAGGCAUGACAUUGGGUUCUCAUAUCAACUGGAGCAUGAUAUCAUGGUGGAACUGAAUAACAAUGGUGCUGCUGGAAAUCUUUAAGGCUAUAAGUCACCACAUGAAAGUACCGAUCCAUAGUUAAUUUUACAGCAAAAUAGGUAGGGUCAGUGCUAUCAUAUGUGUACAUCUUCUAUUUAAAUACUUUACAACAUACAUGUAAGUUAUCUGGAAUUACUUUCCCAGAUAUGCUACCUUAGAAUCAUAGAAUUGCUAAGGUUGGAAAAGACCCACAGGAUCAUCCAGUCCAACCAUUCGCCCUCCAUCAAUGGUUCUCACUAAACCAUGUCCCUCAACACAACAUCCAAAUGCUCUUUGAACACCACCAGGCUCGGUGACUCCACCACCUCUCUGGGCAGCCCAUUCCAGUGCCUGACCACCCUUUCAGAGAAGUAGUAUUUCCUAACGUCCAGCCUGAACCUUCCCAGGCACAUCUUGAAGCCAUUCCCUCUAGUCCUACCUUUCUGAGUUUCAAACAUAUAACCUGCAGUCAAUCUGGCAAGUAACUUAGAAGCCACAAUAUGCAAUGUAGAUAUACCUACAUAUAUGAUAAAAGGAUAAUAAUGAUGAUACUCAGCCUUCUCUUUUCUUAAUACAUGAACCAGAAAUAAAUAUUUGCCUUCUAUUUUUCUUUUCCUGAAGUGAGACCUGGAGUAAUUUCCUUUAAAUAGCAGAGUUGAGAAUGGUGUAAAAUGUGUUGCUUUAUGUACGUCUACAAAGAUCGUUAAACUGGCAUCACCACAUUCACAUGAGCAAAAACUGCUUGUGGAAAAAGGAAACAUAGACAUGAAUGCAGCCAGCCAUAUCAUAACCCAUAUUUUAUGAUGUGUUUGUGUCUAAGAAGUGAUCUGCCUCAAAUUUCAUGUUUUUCCACCAAUUUGAGUAAAAAUGAUACUACCUUUCC